CCAGACUCCUACGGGAGGCAGCAGUGGGGAAUAUUGGACAAUGGGGGAAACCCUGAUCCAGCGACGCCGCGUGAGUGAAGAAGUAUUUCGGUACGUAAAGCUCUCUCAGCAGGAAAGAAAAUGACGGUACCUGACUAAGAAGCCCCGGCUAACUACGUGCCAGCAGCCGCGGUAAUACGUAGGGGGCAAGCGUUAUCCGGAUUUACUGGGUGUAAAGGGAGCGUAGACGGCUGUGCAAGCCAGAUGUGAAAGCCCGGGGCUCAACCCCGGGACUGCAUUUGGAACUGUGUGGCUGGAGUGUCGGAGAGGCAGGCGGAAUUCCUAGUGUAGUGGUGAAAUGCGUAGAUAUUAGGAGGAACACCAGUGGCGAAGGCGGCUUACUGGACUGUAACUGACACUGAGGCUCGAAAGCGUGGGGAGCAAACAGGAUUAGAUACCCUCGUAA
RNAcentral lists this ribosomal RNA (445 nucleotides) under uncultured bacterium. RNAcentral describes it as "bacterial SSU rRNA". It matches the Rfam family "Bacterial small subunit ribosomal RNA", at positions 331 to 793 of the family's 1533-position model. The record is from RNAcentral.